UAGCAAGUCGACCAAAGGCGAAAGCAGUCAUCAAGGGCACGCCCGUUGAUCAAGAGCGAAAGUUAAGGGUUCGAAGACGAUUUGAUUGAUAUCUGGUCGUUAAGAGCAGUGCUCCUCCAGCCCUUUAAUGUGGGGGGUAAAGGCACAUGCUAGUUGUAGAGAACCAGCCUAGGAUUUGAACUCUACAGCGACACUGUCAAAUUGCGGGGACACCCUAAAGCUAACACUACCAACCACGCGGCUAACAGCCGGAAAAAUGCAGGGCGCUAAAACCUCUUUGAGUGGGGGAGUCGCUGCCGUGGGGCCGGGGUAAUGACCUAGGAUACGGUAAAAACGUGUUAGAUACAUGGGCAAUCCGCAGCCAAGCUCGUUUAAGGCUCUUGCUAGCCCACCCUGCUAGGGUGGCUACCUGUUGGCUACGAGUGCAGUUCACAGACUAAAUGUCAGUGGGUGGCUGAGACACCUCAGCUGCUUAAGAUAUAGUCGGGCCUUAAGGGAAACUUUAAGGGAAUGGGAAGCGUGUCGGUUACUAACCGCACACCUUGCAAAUUGACUGCAAGGCCAUACUGCAGAUACCGUCGUAGUCUUAACUAUAAAUGAUACAAACCAGGGAUGGGACAAUGUCCAUCUCGACUCCUCCUGGACCUUAGAGAAAUUAGAGUCUAUGGGUUCUGGGGGGAGUAUGGUCGCAAGUCUGAAACUUAAAGGAAUUGACGGAAGGGCACACAAAGAGUGGAACCUGCGGCUUAAUUUGACUCAACACGGGAAAACUCACCAGGUCCGGAUACACGCAUGACAGUCAAGCUGAAAGACUUUACUCAAUGAUGUAAGUGGUGGUGCAUGGGA
Molecule: ribosomal RNA, 846 nt
Filed under: Physarum sp.
Lineage: Eukaryota; Evosea; Eumycetozoa; Physariida; Physaraceae
Description: partial small subunit ribosomal RNA
Rfam family: Eukaryotic small subunit ribosomal RNA
Source: RNAcentral